UACGUAGGGUGCAAGCGUUGUCCGGAAUUAUUGGGCGUAAAGAGCUCGUAGGCGGUUUGUUGCGUCGGCUGUGAAAUCCCGAGGCUCAACCUCGGGUCUGCAGUCGAUACGAGCAAACUAGAGUGUUGCAGGGGAGACUGGAAUUCCUGGUGUAGCGGUGAAAUGCGCAGAUAUCAGGAGGAACACCCGGUGGGCGAAAGGC
This 202-nucleotide ribosomal RNA is filed under the name uncultured bacterium. RNAcentral's name for it is "partial 16S ribosomal RNA". It matches the Rfam family "Bacterial small subunit ribosomal RNA", at positions 524 to 722 of the family's 1533-position model. The record is from RNAcentral.